AGAAGCUUGCUUCUUUGCUGACGAGUGGCGGACGGGUGAGUAAUGUCUGGGAAACUGCCUGAUGGAGGGGGAUAACUACUGGAAGCGGUAGCUAAUACCGCAUAACGUCGCAAGACCAAAGAGGGGGACCUUCGGGCCUCUUGCCAUCGGAUGUGCCCAGAUGGGAUUAGCUAGUAGGUGGGGUAACGGCUCACCUAGGCGACGAUCCCUAGCUGGUCUGAGAGGAUGACCAGCCACACUGGAACUGAGACACGGUCCAGACUCCUACGGGAGGCAGCAGUGGGGAAUAUUGCACAAUGGGCGCAAGCCUGAUGCAGCCAUGCCGCGUGUAUGAAGAAGGCCUUCGGGUUGUAAAGUACUUUCAGCGGGGAGGAAGGGAGUAAAGUUAAUACCUUUGCUCAUUGACGUUACCCGCAGAAGAAGCACCGGCUAACUCCGUGCCAGCAGCCGCGGUAAUACGGAGGGUGCAAGCGUUAAUCGGAAUUACUGGGCGUAAAGCGCACGCAGGCGGUUUGUUAAGUCAGAUGUGAAAUCCCCGGGCUCAACCUGAGAACUGCAUCUGAUACUGGCAAGCUUGAGUCUCGUAGAGGGGGGUAGAAUUCCAGGUGUAGCGGUGAAAUGCGUAAAGAUCUGGAGGAAUACCGGU
Molecule: ribosomal RNA, 646 nt
Filed under: uncultured bacterium
Lineage: Bacteria
Description: bacterial SSU rRNA
Rfam family: Bacterial small subunit ribosomal RNA
Source: RNAcentral